RNAcentral lists this ribosomal RNA (443 nucleotides) under uncultured bacterium. Its description in RNAcentral is "partial 16S ribosomal RNA". It matches the Rfam family "Bacterial small subunit ribosomal RNA", at positions 338 to 795 of the family's 1533-position model. The record is from RNAcentral.
CCUACGGGAGGCAGCAGUGGGGAAUAUUGGGCAAUGGGCGCAAGCCUGAACCAGCAACGCCGCGUGAAGGAAGAAGGCUGUCGGGGUGGAAACGUCUGUUGGCAGGGACGAAGCAAGUGACGGUACUUGACGAAUAAGCUACGGCUAACUACGGGCCAGCAGCCGCGGCAAGACGUAGGUGGCAAGCGUUAACCGGAUUUAGUGGGUGUAAAGGGCGUGUAGGCGGGGAAGCAAGUCAGAUGUGAAAACCACGGGCUCAACCUGUGGCCUGCAUUUGAAACUGUUUUUCUUGAGUGCUGGAGGGGCAAUCGGAAUUCCGUGUGUAGCGGUGAAAUGCUUAGAUAUCCGGAGGAACACCAGUGGCGAAGGCGGCUUGCUGGACAGUAACUGACGCUGAGGCUCGAAAGCGUGGGUAGCAAACAGGAUUAGCUACCCGGGUAGUC